UAACAAAGAAGCGAGAUUUUUUGUUGAGAUCUUUUUUGUUUUGUGUUUACCAAGUGGACAACAAAGGAGUUUUAUAGCAUAUAGAAUAUGCACUCUCCACAAGCCAAAUCACGGUAAUAAACUGCAGUUUUUACAAUAAACUAAUGCAGUGCACUUUUUAACAACAACAAAAUUGAGUAACAGGGCAUCCAAUAGAACUACAUCACUUCAUCCUUUGGGACCGCACGCGCAAGCCUGUGCGCCGUUGAACUCCACAAAUGCUUGUGAGCUGCACCCAAACCAGCAAAGAGCUGCAUGCAUUAACAUGGUCAAACUGAAACAUACAGCAAUAUGACUACAAAAAAAAGACAUAACAAGAUGAACUACUUAAAAAAAGUAUGACACCGGCCACCCCUAGUGCAGUGCACUUGUCCUCUGCUUCCCGCGAACAACAAGGAGUGGAGGAGGGAGCUACAAGUGAGGUUCGUCGCCCAGACGCCUGGCAAGCUGCACGGCACAAUCACCUGCACUGCAUGCCACGCUCGUCCACACUGCAUGUAGUGCUCGCCGAAAAGGGGUAACCCAUCAGUUGCUAGGACGGUAGGACCUGCAAGCACACACGCCGGCACCCGACAAACUGCAUGCCCUCUAGGGAGGGUGGAGAGGAGCAGGAAACAGGAUCCAUGCACGCAGCAGUGAGGCACCCACAAAACUACAGGAGAUUGGCUACCUGUCAACAGCGAGCAAAACAGUUAAACACCUUUGAUCCCCAAUACAUGCAGAAUUCACCACCAUGAGAACCAAAUUCAACAAGAAAGACGAACACGAGAUGCAAGAUGACCAAGAACCUACUCGAUUUUGCAGAAGAGAGGUGCUCGAGGGGGAUGCAGGAUCUCGCCAGAGGAAGGACGACAAGACACCGAACGACAAACACGCACGCCUACGAGCUGCAUGUCAUGCUUGCCCAGACAGCAAGCUGCUAUCGCCAGAACCUCGGCCCAAAUGGACCUCCUUCAUACCUGUCAGUCAUCUUUUCUACAUCAUCUAUCUUUUCUGCAAAAAAAGAGUAAAAUGAACCUCAAGAGCAAACAAUAGCGGACUACUCUGCACUUUUGACCUUUUUCUUAAAAAAAGCAACAAAGACAGUAGACUGCAGGUGCACACGGC
This 1146-nucleotide long non-coding RNA is filed under the name Triticum aestivum (bread wheat). RNAcentral describes it as "long non-coding RNA (TAES_LNC016445)". Lineage: Eukaryota; Viridiplantae; Streptophyta; Magnoliopsida; Poales; Poaceae. The record is from RNAcentral.